GAACUUAAGCAUAUCAAUAAGGCGAGGAACAGAAACCAACUGGGAUUCCCCUAGUAGUGGCGAAUGAAGCGGGAAAAGCUCAAGUUUGAAAUCCGGCGGGCGACCUCCGGAGUUGUAAGCUGAUGAGGUAUCGAUCGACAUGGUCCGGGCCCAAUUUCCUUGGAACAGGAGGUCAUGGAGGGUGAGAACCCCGUCCGUGGCUCGGGUGCCAUUGUCCUUGUGUCGUGUCCUCUAAGAGUCGGGUUGUUUGGGAAUGCAGCUCAAAAUGGGUGGUAAAUUUCAUCUAAAGCUAAAUACUGGCGAGAGACCGAUAGCAAACAAGUAGAGUGAUCGAAAGAUGAAAAGUACUUUGAAAAGAGAGUGAAACAGUACGUGAAAUUGUUGAAAGGGAAGCGUUUGGCAUCAGCCCUUGGCGUCCGUCGAACAUCCAGGCUUCUGUCUGGUGCACUCGUCGGCCGUCGGGCCAGCGUCGGCUCUGCCUGUCGGAGAAAGGCCUGAGGGAUGUGGCUCACCUUCGGGGGAGCGUUAUAACCUCGGGCGUCAUGCGAUGUGGUGGGGCCGAGGUCCGCGGACUCUGUCCUAGGACGCUGGCGUAAUGGUUCCAAGCGACCCGUCUUGAAACACGGACCAAGGAGUCUAACAUCUAUGCGAGUGUUUGGGUGUCAAGCCCGUCCGCGCAAUGAAAGUGAAUGCAGGCGGGAGCCGUAAAAGGUGCACCGCCGACCGGUCCGGGGGUUUACCGAAGGAUCUGAGUAAGAGCAUAGCUGUUGGGACCCGAAA
RNAcentral lists this ribosomal RNA (780 nucleotides) under uncultured fungus. RNAcentral's name for it is "eukaryotic LSU rRNA". It matches the Rfam family "Eukaryotic large subunit ribosomal RNA", at positions 30 to 821 of the family's 3401-position model. Lineage: Eukaryota; Fungi. The record is from RNAcentral.